Oncorhynchus tshawytscha (Chinook salmon) is the source of this 3795-nucleotide long non-coding RNA. RefSeq lists it as uncharacterized. The transcript has 2 exons. The record is from RefSeq and is a predicted model, not a curated record. Lineage: Eukaryota; Metazoa; Chordata; Actinopteri; Salmoniformes; Salmonidae.
GGAGUUACUAUAGAGCGCCACCCUCUCGCCAAGUUAAUGUCCAAAAGCGGAAGUCGUGUCACAUACCUUUCUAUUUCCCCUGAAAACCGGAACAUCCGGUUGUUAGGGACUCAGCAGAGGCUAGGGCGGAGUAAACGCUCUCGCUUUGCCUCUUCCGCUAUACUUUCAAGAGAGGCCAACACAGACCGAAGGAGAGUUACCACGUUUUGUGGUGUUGUCAAUAUUCAGACAUGUUCCACAUCUCCUCACUGGCUCCCCUCCAGGGCAAACUGACGGUGAUCUGCUAAUGUUUACAAGGUACUGAGAAACUCUUUAACCUUGAUGAAAAGCACAUAACAAGCUGUUAGCACAUCAUGAAUAAUGAUAGUAAUGUGAGUGUAAUUCGUUCUUCGGGUCAGUGCAAGAGUUUGAUGUGGAUACAAUGUGGAGCAAUGCUUGGAUGUGCGAAAGGAUGACAGUACUGCAACUGGACAGGAAGUAAAAGAUUAAUUCACAUCAAUAACCACAUUUCCACCAAGUUUUUAUUUGAGUAAAGUCAUACCUUGUUAAAAAAAUGUGUUCCAUGGUAGAAUCUUUUUGUGUCUGUAAAAUUAAUUAUGUGCCAAAUGGCUGUGAAAAUGCAGAUAUUGAUAUAAUAACCAUCAUAUGGAAGUAAACUUAGUGUCACGUGAUGAUAUGGUGUGUGGUCCUCCUACUACAACUCCGGAAACCAUGCAGUUUAUUAGGAUACAGAUUAAAUUAUGAUGAACUUCACAGGGUGGUGAAAGUGCACGGUGAUGAACUUGAUGCUGCUUUACAAUAAGUAUCUAGGGUCUUAUUCUGGUGACAUGAUGAUCGAUGCUUGACUGCCUUUUGACCAAUACAAAUAUUCUCGCUCUUUAUCCAUAAUAAUCUAAUCAUGUAGACUAGCCUACUGUACCAGCACAGCCUACCUGCACUGUGUCUGUGAGCUGUUGGCUAGAGCGCACGUGCCAAGACCAGAAUAGGCACAUUUUCUAUUUAACUCAGCAGUUUUUGUGACAAAACUAUCUGUUGAAUUGAACUUUAGAUUUGUAUUCGAUACAUGAAAAUUUAAGCAAAAAAUUACAUUUUGUGCACUGUCAUCACUUACCCAUUUUUAUCUGUAGCAAGUCCAUUUGUCGCUUGGGCUCAAACUAGACAUACAAAUGCUCCUGUUGACUGGGCUUCCUUCAGAGCACUAUAAAACAAAUUUGCAGGAUUGACCAGGAAAUCCAAAUCCGAUUUCUAUCUAAAUGCAGUCACAGAGAACCUAAACAACCAUACCAAGUUCUGGAAGCUAAUCAAAUCAGUGUCAGGUUCUAAUGUCUCCUCUGGCCUUCCUGACCAUUUAUUAAUGGUGGAUUCUAGUGAAGUGAAGGAUAAAGCUGAUAUUGUAUGGGGUUUUUAACAAGCACUUCAUAUCUGCUGGCUCAAUUUUUGAUAAUGGUGGGUCCCAGGCCUCUAAUGUAAGCUCUGUUACAGUAAACUAAGAUAUAGGCCCUCAUGUGAACCAUUUUAACUUUGAGCCUGUUUCUUAUGCUGAUAGCAGCUGGUAUUAGUACUGAACCUGUGGCUCACAUUUUCAACUUGAGCCUCUUGACCAAUUCCCUACCCAGCAUUUGGAAAUCAGCUCAUGUCCUCCCACUGCUAAAGGGUGGAGAUCACUCAGAUGCUAAUAAUUAUUGUCCUAUCUCCAAACUCCCUAACCUGGCCAACGUCUAUGAAUCCCUAGUGAACUCAGUUAAAAAACUUCUUAAUUGAAAAGAACAUACUGAGCGGGGUUCAGUCUGGCUUUAGAUUGGGGCACAGUACCACAACUGCAGCUAUGGCAGUGACAAAUAACAUACUGAGCAGGGUUCAGUCUGGCUUUAGAUUGGGGCACAGUACCACAACUGCAGCUAUGGCAGUGGCAAAUGACAUCACUAAUGCACUUCAUAAAAAGCAGCAUUGUGCUGCUCUGUUUGUUGAUUUAUCAAAGGCAUUUGAUUCAGUUGACCAUGAAUUGUUGCUAGCUAAACUCAGUAACAUUGGUCUCAGUGAAGGGGCAGUAAAUUGGUUUAGGAACAAUCUUUCUGACAGAACACAAUGUGUAUAUACUGACAAUCACAAGUCUAGCUUUCUAGAGAUUAAUAGAGGUGUGCUCCAGGGUUCCAUUUUAUCUCCUGUGUUGUUUUUAUCAAUUUGUAUUAAUGAUUUGGGAAAUGAGAUGCAACCAGCAAAGUUGCAUCUAUAUGCAUAUGAUACAGUCAUAUAUUAAUGUGGUCCUUCUCUGGUUCUGUAAUGAACACAAUGGGAGACAGAGAGCUGGUUUCAAGCGCAGGGUGUUUAAUUGUAAAGGACAACAGAAGGAGGCAGGUAGCUGGGUCCAGGGGCAGGCAGAAGGUCAUACACAGGGGGUCCAAAAAGGCAACAGUAGAGGCAGGGAAAAGGCUAGUAACAUCGUCCGGGAGAUCAGGCAAUAGGUGAUUACAGGAAAUCCGAUAGGCUAAAGUACAGUACAAACAGAUCUACGUGUCUGGGAGUGCGAGUUGGAAGCAGGCGUUACAGGUUAAGGCUGUUGAAGAGCUCCAGUAAUGCUUUUCAGUCACUGCAGGCCUUCCUUUAUUGUCUACAACUGGUCUUGAAUGUACAAAACAUGUAUGACCUUUACCAGAGCUCGUACUCAGACAGAGAAGGUUAGCAUUUUCACAUCUUGUGGCUUAUCCAUUGAAAAAGUGUCAUCCUACAAAUACCUUUUAUAUGGUUGGAUGACAAGUUGUCCUUUAAAGUUCAUAUUGAUAAUCUUGUGGGGAAGCUUAAAUUGAAAUUGGGUUUUUACUUUCGUAAUAAGGCUUGCUUCCCGCUUAUGGCUAGAAAGAAGCUUGUUCAGGCCACUUUUCUCUCUGUAAUUAAUUAUGGUGACUUGUUGUAUAUGCAUGCAGACUCCUCUGUCUUACAGAGAUUGGACUCUGUUAAUCAUGCAUCCUUGAGCUUUAUUACAAAGGCCAAGUCACUCACCCACCAUUGCACCUUGUACCAAAUGUUUGGUUGGACCUCACUUUAUAUGCACAUAAAGGCACAUUUGUAAGUGUUCAUCUACAAAGCCCUUUUGGGUAAACUCCCUCUUUACCUAUGUAGUCUGGUCUCCUUCACCACCAGCAGUUACCAUACCCGGUCUGCUAGGUGGUUGCUACUUAAUAAGGCCCCCAGGUCAUUUACUGUAUUAGGCAAGACUGCCUUCUCAUAUUGUGCAACAGAGCCAAGGAAUAGUCUACAAUCCAUGCUGCAUCUAGAUAUGUUAGUGCCUCUGAAUGAAUUUACAUUUUUAAUGGGAGACUGUUACAGAGGAGUGUAAAUGCUUAUUGAGGCUGGAUCAUGUUGUUGAAUUGUAUUGUAUUGUUGUAUGUUUUAGUUCUGUAAUGUAUUGAUUGUUGCUGCCUUCUUGAAAAAUACUCUUGGUCUCAAUGGACUUUUUUCCUGGUUAAAUAAAGGUUAAAUAAAUCAAACAAAAUUUGUUAUAAUUCUACACCAAAAUGUAAAAUAUUUCUGAUUGAAUGUAAUAAUAUAGUUAAGACAUCCAUAGUUAAUAACAAAAAGAAUGACAUGUUCUUCAGUCAUUAUUAUGCCAUUUUUUUCUGAGUGAAUACAAUUGCCCUUUUUUUUCCUUAUUUUUAGUACAUAUGUAUUUCAAGUGUCUUCUUGUUUUUACCUGUGUGGUUUGUUUUGCGUUAGACAUGUUUGAUGUAGUGAUGUAAAUUGUUGAUUGCUGGUAAUUUGUAUUAAAAAAAGCAAGUCCACUUUGAGGAAAAAAAAACA